Molecule: long non-coding RNA, 244 nt
Organism: Equus quagga
Lineage: Eukaryota; Metazoa; Chordata; Mammalia; Perissodactyla; Equidae
Exons: 3
Source: RefSeq, a predicted model, not a curated record
GCCGAUCUUAAAGAGAACACUACACCUGUUCUCCUGACAUCUUCGAAGUUUUCUCUUGAAGUCUGGAGGAAUGGCCCCCAGGCUCCAAGAGCAAAAUAUCAGAAACCUCAUAUUCAGCAUCUCUUAUACCAUCUUUUCUAAUACCCACAGCAAGCUUGUGAAUUUGAUCACCCUGCAAUUUCACCCUGCAAUUUAAGAUGGGCCCUCAGCUAAACACAGGAGGUGAAAUUAGGCAGCAUCCAGA